GCUGGCGGCGCGCUUAAACAUGCAAGUCGAGCGAGAACUGGUCCUUCGGGACCGGGGAAAGCGGCGAACGGGUGAGUAACACGUGGGUAAUCAACCCCUGGCACCGGGAUAGCCCGAGGAAACUCGGAUUAAUACCGGAUGGCCCAACAGCUCUUCGGGGCGGUUGGAAAAGGUAGCUUCGGCCUCCGGCCAAGGACGAGCCCGCGGCGGAUUAGCUUGUUGGUGGGGUAACGGCCCACCAAGGCGACGAUCCGUAGCUGGUCUGAGAGGACGAUCAGCCACACUGGGACUGAGACACGGCCCAGACUCCUACGGGAGGCAGCAGUGGGGAAUCUUGCACAAUGGGCGAAAGCCUGAUGCAGCGACGCCGCGUGAGGGAAGAAGGCUUUCGGGUUGUAAACCUCUUUCAGGAGGGACGAAGCUCCUCGGGUUAAUAGCCCAGAGGGUGACGGUACCUUCAGAAGAAGCCC
RNAcentral lists this ribosomal RNA (470 nucleotides) under uncultured soil bacterium. Its description in RNAcentral is "bacterial SSU rRNA". It matches the Rfam family "Bacterial small subunit ribosomal RNA", at positions 35 to 493 of the family's 1533-position model. The record is from RNAcentral.